This 1297-nucleotide ribosomal RNA is filed under the name Salmonella enterica. RNAcentral's name for it is "partial 23S ribosomal RNA". It matches the Rfam family "Bacterial large subunit ribosomal RNA", at positions 1660 to 2925 of the family's 2925-position model. The record is from RNAcentral. Lineage: Bacteria; Pseudomonadati; Pseudomonadota; Gammaproteobacteria; Enterobacterales; Enterobacteriaceae.
CAGGUGGUCAGGUAGAGAAUACCAAGGCGCUUGAGAGAACUCGGGUGAAGGAACUAGGCAAAAUGGUGCCGUAACUUCGGGAGAAGGCACGCUGACACGUAGGUGAAGUGAUUUACUCAUGGAGCUGAAGUCAGUCGAAGAUACCAGCUGGCUGCAACUGUUUAUUAAAAACACAGCACUGUGCAAACACGAAAGUGGACGUAUACGGUGUGACGCCUGCCCGGUGCCGGAAGGUUAAUUGAUGGGGUCAGCGCAAGCGAAGCUCCUGAUCGAAGCCCCGGUAAACGGCGGCCGUAACUAUAACGGUCCUAAGGUAGCGAAAUUCCUUGUCGGGUAAGUUCCGACCUGCACGAAUGGCGUAAUGAUGGCCAGGCUGUCUCCACCCGAGACUCAGUGAAAUUGAACUCGCUGUGAAGAUGCAGUGUACCCGCGGCAAGACGGAAAGACCCCGUGAACCUUUACUAUAGCUUGACACUGAACAUUGAGCCUUGAUGUGUAGGAUAGGUGGGAGGCUUUGAAGUGUGGACGCCAGUCUGCAUGGAGCCGACCUUGAAAUACCACCCUUUAAUGUUUGAUGUUCUAACGUGGACCCGUAAUCCGGGUUGCGGACAGUGUCUGGUGGGUAGUUUGACUGGGGCGGUCUCCUCCUAAAGAGUAACGGAGGAGCACGAAGGUUGGCUAAUCCUGGUCGGACAUCAGGAGGUUAGUGCAAUGGCAUAAGCCAGCUUGACUGCGAGCGUGACGGCGCGAGCAGGUGCGAAAGCAGGUCAUAGUGAUCCGGUGGUUCUGAAUGGAAGGGCCAUCGCUCAACGGAUAAAAGGUACUCCGGGGAUAACAGGCUGAUACCGCCCAAGAGUUCAUAUCGACGGCGGUGUUUGGCACCUCGAUGUCGGCUCAUCACAUCCUGGGGCUGAAGUAGGUCCCAAGGGUAUGGCUGUUCGCCAUUUAAAGUGGUACGCGAGCUGGGUUUAGAACGUCGUGAGACAGUUCGGUCCCUAUCUGCCGUGGGCGCUGGAGAACUGAGGGGGGCUGCUCCUAGUACGAGAGGACCGGAGUGGACGCAUCACUGGUGUUCGGGUUGUCAUGCCAAUGGCACUGCCCGGUAGCUAAAUGCGGAAGAGAUAAGUGCUGAAAGCAUCUAAGCACGAAACUUGCCCCGAGAUGAGUUCUCCCUGAGACUUAGAGUCUCCUGAAGGAACGUUGAAGACGACGACGUUGAUAGGCCGGGUGUGUAAGCGCAGCGAUGCGUUGAGCUAACCGGUACUAAUGAACCGUGAGGCUUAACCUUACAACGCCG